RNAcentral lists this ribosomal RNA (454 nucleotides) under uncultured bacterium. RNAcentral's name for it is "partial 16S ribosomal RNA". It matches the Rfam family "Bacterial small subunit ribosomal RNA", at positions 28 to 507 of the family's 1533-position model. The record is from RNAcentral.
GAUGAACGCUGACAGAAUGCUUAACACAUGCAAGUCAACUUGAACUUCGGUUUGGGUGGCGGACGGGUGAGUAACGCGUAAAGAACUUGCCUCGCAGUUAGGGACAACAUUUGGAAACGAAUGCUAAUACCUGAUAUUAUGAUUUUAGGGCAUCCUAGAAUUAUGAAAGCUAUAUGCGCUGUGAGAGAGCUUUGCGUCCCAUUAGCUAGUUGGAGAGGUAACGGCUCACCAAGGCGAUGAUGGGUAGCCGGCCUGAGAGGGUGAACGGCCACAAGGGGACUGAGACACGGCCCUUACUCCUACGGGAGGCAGCAGUGGGGAAUAUUGGACAAUGGACCAAGAGUCUGAUCCAGCAAUUCUGUGUGCACGAUGAAGUUUUUCGGAAUGUAAAGUGCUUUCAGUUGGGAAGAAAAAAAUGACGAUACCAACAGAAGAAGUGACGGCUAAAUACGUG